Molecule: ribosomal RNA, 383 nt
Filed under: uncultured Glomeromycotina
Lineage: Eukaryota; Fungi; Glomeromycota
Description: eukaryotic LSU rRNA
Source: RNAcentral
CACUAGUGAUUUUGAAAGGGAAACGAUUGAAGCCAGUCGUACCUAUGGGUAAUCAGCCUUUUGGGUGUGAUUUUGUGGAGCGUGAGGAGUUAAACGCCUUCAUGCCUGCAUAUUCGUGCACUUUGGGUGUACUUGCCCGUGUGUAAGUUAACAUCAAUUUUGGUGGUCAUAAAAUGGCUGGAGGAAUGUAGCUUCGAUCUUGUAUUGAAGUGUUAUAGCCUUCGGUAGAUGUGACGAUCGGGAUUGAGGAUUGCAACGGAUACCCUUCGGGGCUACCUGUCUGAUCUCUGAUUGUUGCUCUGGUGCCGAAAGCUUGCUUACGGUUAUCAAAGUCGAUGGUCAAUAGGUUAGAAUGGGUUAAAUUCGUUAAGGAUGUUGACGUA